UACGUAGGGGGCAAGCGUUGUCCGGAAUUAUUGGGCGUAAAGAGCUCGUAGGUGGCGUGUCGCGUCUGCCGUGAAAGCCCAUGGCUUAACUGUGGGUCUGCGGUGGAUACGGGCAGGCUGGAGGCUGGUAGGGGCAAGCGGAAUUCCUGGUGUAGCGGUGAAAUGCGCAGAUAUCAGGAGGAACACCGGUGGCGAAGGCGGCUUGCUGGGCCAGUUCUGACGCUGAGGAGCGAAAGCGUGGGGAGCGAACAGG
RNAcentral lists this ribosomal RNA (253 nucleotides) under uncultured bacterium. Its description in RNAcentral is "partial 16S ribosomal RNA". It matches the Rfam family "Bacterial small subunit ribosomal RNA", at positions 524 to 776 of the family's 1533-position model. The record is from RNAcentral.